UACGUAGGGGGCGAGCGUUGUCCGGAAUGACUGGGCGUAAAGGGUGUGUAGGCGGUUUAUUAAGUUAGAAGUGAAAUACCUAGGGCUUAACCCAGGUGCUGCUUCUAAAACUGAUAGACUUGAGUGCAGUAGAGGAAAGUGGAAUUCCUAGUGUAGCGGUGGAAUGCGUAGAUAUUAGGAGGAACAUCAGUGGCGAAGGCGGCCGCCUGGCCUGUUGCUGACGCUGAGGCACGAAAGCGUAGGGAGCAAAUAGG
RNAcentral lists this ribosomal RNA (254 nucleotides) under uncultured Eubacteriales bacterium. RNAcentral describes it as "uncultured Clostridiales bacterium partial 16S ribosomal RNA". It matches the Rfam family "Bacterial small subunit ribosomal RNA", at positions 524 to 776 of the family's 1533-position model. The record is from RNAcentral. Lineage: Bacteria; Bacillati; Bacillota; Clostridia; Eubacteriales.